UACGAAGGGUGCAAGCGUUAAUCGGAAUUACUGGGCGUAAAGGGAGCGUAGGCGGACAUUUAAGUCAGGGGUGAAAUCCCAGAGCUCAACUCUGGAACUGCCUUUGAUACUGGGUGUCUUGAGUGUGAGAGAGGUAUGUGGAACUCCGAGUGUAGAGGUGAAAUUCGUAGAUAUUCGGAAGAACACCAGUGGCGAAGGCGACAUACUGGCUCAUUACUGACGCUGAGGCUCGAAAGCGUGGGGAGCAAACAGG
This 253-nucleotide ribosomal RNA is filed under the name uncultured bacterium. RNAcentral describes it as "partial 16S ribosomal RNA". It matches the Rfam family "Bacterial small subunit ribosomal RNA", at positions 524 to 776 of the family's 1533-position model. The record is from RNAcentral.